CCUACGGGAGGCAGCAGUUAGGAAUAUUGGACAAUGGGGGCAACCCUGAUCCAGCCAUGCCGCGUGUGUGAAGAAGGCCUUAGGGUUGUAAAGCACUUUCAGCUGUGAAGAUAAUGACAGUAGCAGAAGAAGAAGCUCCGGCUAAAUUCGUGCCAGCAGCCGCGGUAAUACGAAUGGAGCGAGCGUUGUUCGGAAUCACUGGGCGUAAAGGGUGCGCAGGCGGUCAUGAAAGUUAGAAGUGAAAUCCCAGGGCUUAACCCUGGAAUGGCUUUUAAAACUCCAUGACUAGAGUACUGGAGAGGUUGGCGGAAUUCCGAGUGUAGAGGUGAAAUUCGCAGAUAUUCGGAGGAACACCAAUGGCGUAGGCAGCCAACUGGACAGUAACUGACGCUCAUGCACGAAAGCGUGGGGAUCAAACAGGAUUAGAUACCCUGGUAGUCCACGCCCUAAACGAUGUGUGCUAGUUGUCGGGUUCUUAGAACUCGGUGACGCAGCUAACGCUUUAAGCACACCGCCUGGGGAGUACGGUCGCAAAGAUUAAAACUCAAAGGAAUUGACGG
This 560-nucleotide ribosomal RNA is filed under the name uncultured bacterium. RNAcentral describes it as "bacterial SSU rRNA". It matches the Rfam family "Bacterial small subunit ribosomal RNA", at positions 338 to 916 of the family's 1533-position model. The record is from RNAcentral.